RNAcentral lists this ribosomal RNA (253 nucleotides) under uncultured bacterium. Its description in RNAcentral is "partial 16S ribosomal RNA". It matches the Rfam family "Bacterial small subunit ribosomal RNA", at positions 524 to 776 of the family's 1533-position model. The record is from RNAcentral.
GACGAACCGAGCGAACGUUGUUCGGAAUAACUGGGCUUAAAGGGCGCGUAGGCGGGCUAUCAAGUCCGGGGUGAAAUCCUCCAGCUCAACUGGAGAACGGCCUCGGAUACUGAUGGUCUCGAGGAGGAUAGGGGCACACGGAACUGUGGGUGGAGCGGUGAAAUGCGUUGAUAUCCAUAGGAACUCCGGUGGCGAAAGCGGUGUGCUGGAUCCUUUCUGACGCUGAGGCGCGAAAGCCAGGGGAGCAAACGGG